GGAAUCUUCCGCAAUGGACGAAAGUCUGACGGAGCAACGCCGCGUGAACGAUGAAGGCCUUCGGAUCGUAAACUCCUGUCGAGCGGGACGAACGGCCCGUGGCCUAAUACGCCGCGGGAGUGACGGUACCGCUAAAGGAAGCCCCGGCUAACUCCGUGCCAGCAGCCGCGGUAAUACGGGGGGGGCAAGCGUUGUUCGGAAUUACUGGGCGUAAAGGGCUCGUAGGCGGCCAACUAAGUCGGACGUGAAAUCCCCCGGCUCAACCGGGGAACUGCGUCCGAUACUGGAUGGCUUGAAUCCGGGAGAGGGAUGCGGAAUUCCAGGUGUAGCGGUGAAAUGCGUAGAUAUCUGGAGGAACACCGGUGGCGAAGGCGGCAUCCUGGACCGGCAUUGACGCUGAGGAGCGAAAGCCAGGGUAGC
This 420-nucleotide ribosomal RNA is filed under the name uncultured bacterium. RNAcentral's name for it is "bacterial SSU rRNA". It matches the Rfam family "Bacterial small subunit ribosomal RNA", at positions 358 to 769 of the family's 1533-position model. The record is from RNAcentral.